RNAcentral lists this ribosomal RNA (468 nucleotides) under uncultured bacterium. RNAcentral describes it as "partial 16S ribosomal RNA". It matches the Rfam family "Bacterial small subunit ribosomal RNA", at positions 28 to 507 of the family's 1533-position model. The record is from RNAcentral.
GACGAACGCUGGCGGCGUGCUUAACACAUGCAAGUCGAACGGAAAGGCCCUGCUUUUGUUGGGUGCUCGAGUGGCGAACGGGUGAGUAACACGUGAGUAACCUGCCCUUGACUUUGGGAUAACUUCAGGAAACUGGGGCUAAUACCGGAUAGGAGCUCCUGCUGCAUGGUGGGGGUUGGAAAGUGUCGGCGGUUGGGGAUGGACUCGCGGCUUAUCAGCUUGUUGGUGGGGUAGUGGCGUACCAAGGCUUUGACGGGUAGCCGGCCUGAGAGGGUGACCGGCCACAUUGGGACUGAGAUACGGCCCAGACUCCUACGGGAGGCAGCAGUGGGGAAUAUUGCACAAUGGGCGGAAGCCUGAUGCAGCAACGCCGCGUGCGGGAUGACGGCCUUCGGGUUGUAAACCGCUUUCGCAUGUGACGAAGCGUGAGUGACGGUAAUGGGUAAAGAAGCACCGGCUAACUACGUG